CAGCAGUGGGGAAUAUUGCACAAUGGGGGAAACCCUGAUGCAGCGACGCCGCGUGAGUGAAGAAGUAUUUCGGUAUGUAAAGCUCUAUCAGCAGGGAAGAAAUACUGACCAUAGGGUCAGCAGACGGUACUUGACUAAGAAGCCCCGGCUAACUACGUGCCAGCAGCCGCGGUAAUACGUAGGGGGCAAGCGUUAUCCGGAUUUACUGGGUGUAAAGGAAGCGUAGACGGCAGCGCAAGUCUGAAGUGAAAUGCCAGGGCUUAACCCUGGAACUGCUUUGGAAACUGUGCAGCUAGAGUGCAGGAGAGGUAAGUGGAAUUUCUAGUGUAGCGGUGAAAUGCGUAGAUAUUAGGAGGAACACCAGUGGCGAAGGCGGCUUACUGGACUGUAACUGACGUUGAGGCUCGAAAGCGUGGGGAGCAAACAGGAUUAGAUACCCUGGUAGUCCACGCUGUAAACGAUGAUUACUAGGUGUUGGGGGACCAAGGUUCUUCG
This 495-nucleotide ribosomal RNA is filed under the name uncultured bacterium. RNAcentral's name for it is "bacterial SSU rRNA". It matches the Rfam family "Bacterial small subunit ribosomal RNA", at positions 349 to 842 of the family's 1533-position model. The record is from RNAcentral.